RNAcentral lists this ribosomal RNA (420 nucleotides) under uncultured archaeon. RNAcentral's name for it is "partial 16S ribosomal RNA". It matches the Rfam family "Archaeal small subunit ribosomal RNA", at positions 323 to 746 of the family's 1478-position model. The record is from RNAcentral.
CUACGGGGUGCUGCAGCUGAGGAUCUUUUACAAUGCACGAAAGUGUGAUAGAGCGAGCCAGAGUGUUGUUCUUAGAACAACUUUUAUCUGCUGUAAAAAGGCAGAUGAAUAAGGACUGGGUAAGACCGGUGCCAGCCGCCGCGGUAAUACCGGCGGUCCAAGUUGCAUCCAUUUUUAUUGGGUCUAAAACAUCCGUAGCUUGCUUUGUAAGUUUCUUGUGAAAUCUCAUGUCUCAAACAUGAGGCUUGCAAGAAAUACUGCAUAGCUAGAGACCGGAAGACGUAAGGAGUAUGAUUGAGGUAGCGGUAAAAUGUGUUAAUCUUGAUCAGACUAACAACGGCGAAGGCACCUUACGAGUACGGAUCUGACAGUGAGGGAUGAAGGCCAGGGGCGCAAAACGGAUUAGAUACCCUAGUAGUC